UAGGAAAGCUAAAUUAAUAUCUUCAGAUAUCUGACUUUUGCGAUACAUUUUACUGUCAACUGCAACAAAGGAAAUUAUUAUGAUCAAAUUAGGUAUCAUUGGGAACAAUCAUGUUAUUUAUCGGUCGUCACACAUAACUUUGAUCAAUCCAUUAUGUUCACAGCAACCUUGGUUUGCAGUUCCCAAGGAAGAUACCGCAUGGAGGAUGUCAUUCCAUUUACAAGAAAGAUAUAUCCUUAAGGACUUGAAAUAUUUGAAAUACACAUUGAGACUGUUGAAGAAAGUACGAGAUGAAUUGCAGAUAACGAAAGUGGCCAGUUACUACAUAAAAACUUUGUUUCUGUGGGAAGUGGAAUAUAACAGAGACUAUCGGGCUGUAUGGUCAGCUACUGGACGAGGUCGUCUUUUUAUGCAUAUGCUUGUACGCUUUAGAGAAGCUCUACGAGAAAGGAGAAUUCCGUUUUUUUGGGAAAGAGAAAUGAAUUUGAUUGGUCACCUGAAAGAAGCUUAUAUCCAAAAUAGUUGUGACAGACUUAACAAUUUUAUCAAGCAAAUAGACAAACAUGUUGAUGAUAAAAAUGCGUAUGAACUAGAAGUCUAUAUUUGUAAGUAUACAUUGUGUAUUCAAACAC
Homalodisca vitripennis (glassy-winged sharpshooter) is the source of this 632-nucleotide long non-coding RNA. RefSeq lists it as uncharacterized. Lineage: Eukaryota; Metazoa; Arthropoda; Insecta; Hemiptera; Cicadellidae. The record is from RefSeq and is a predicted model, not a curated record. The transcript is spliced from 3 exons.